UCCCUCGAGCCAGAGACGGCACCUCCGACUAACUGCUGCCACACUAGAGGGCGGUGGGAGACACCCAAUGCUGCUGCGAAUUUCUCCAUUCCCGAUCCAGAACGCAAUCUGAUGGUCACUGUUUUUCUGGCUUAACGCUGGAGUUACAUUACUACGACAAGUGUCCCGGCAAUGAAUUCACACCGUAGACGGAAGUGGGGGACAGCGCCACCCGUGAAAGUUUCGCCUGUAACACAUGAAUGAAAUGCAUCUUCAAAGCACUCCACUGUCAAGUAUGAACCGUAUAAAAUCGUACCCUCCACUAUCUUAGCCGAAAUCCAUGGAAGAAAUAUUUUAGUCAAGCUUUCCAAAAGAGCAAACAGUUCAUUCGCCAGCAAU
Selaginella moellendorffii is the source of this 378-nucleotide long non-coding RNA. RefSeq lists it as uncharacterized. The transcript has 3 exons. Lineage: Eukaryota; Viridiplantae; Streptophyta; Lycopodiopsida; Selaginellales; Selaginellaceae. The record is from RefSeq and is a predicted model, not a curated record.